UUCGCGCGCUAGUCGACACCUACGCGCUGCCCUCACGCUAAACAAUAACUUUUACUCAGAAAAAAUAUAAUCUAUGAUAUAAAAAAUAAAAUAUUGUUUAUACCAGUGACAUCUAUUCGAUUUUUAAAAAGUGACUCGUUCCAAAUAUGAUAUUGACAUUUGGUUGUUUUCGUGUUAAUGACAUUUCAUUUUGGCGGCAAAUGAAGACGGGUUUCACUGAUGACGUUCUCGCACAUUUCCCUCAGUAAAUCAUAGAAUGACCAGCGCGGGCGCAGCUCGUGAGUAGACGCCGCUGCCUGCUUCACACGCCCGAUGGGCAAGACGUCCGGGGGCCGCCUCGACGCCGGAGUACGCUCGCAUAGAGUCGCGAACAGAAGAGAGUCGGGAGUUUGCUGGGGCAGGCGCGGGCGUGCGGGGUGCGCGCGCGCAGGGGGCGCGGGCGGCGCGGGGGCGG
This is a long non-coding RNA of Manduca sexta (tobacco hornworm), 454 nucleotides long. RefSeq lists it as uncharacterized. The record is from RefSeq and is a predicted model, not a curated record. The transcript is spliced from 3 exons. Lineage: Eukaryota; Metazoa; Arthropoda; Insecta; Lepidoptera; Sphingidae.